GUGUCAGCAGCCGCGGUAAGACGAACCUGACGAACGUUAUUCGGAAUCACUGGGCUUAAAGGGUGCGUAGGCUGUGCAGAAAGUUGGGUGUGAAAUCCCUCGGCUUAACCGAGGAACUGCGCCCAAAACUACUGUGCUUGAGUGAGAUAGAGGUGAGCGGAACUUAGGGUGGAGCGGUGAAAUGCGUUGAUAUCCUAAGGAACACCGGUGGCGAAAGCGGCUCACUGGGUCUCAACUGACGCUGAUGCACGAAAGCUAGGGUAGCGAACGGGAUUAGAUACCCCCGUAGUCC
Molecule: ribosomal RNA, 292 nt
Filed under: uncultured bacterium
Lineage: Bacteria
Description: partial 16S ribosomal RNA
Rfam family: Bacterial small subunit ribosomal RNA
Source: RNAcentral